GAAUACGAGAAACAGGGGUUGAGCCGUCGCGUGUAACGGAAAGGAGUGGUUAGCUCGGAAAUGUAAGUCGGAAGUGCGUGUAGAUGUUGCACUGUGUUAAGGAAAGGGAUACAAAUAUACACACUCUCUGCACGCAAGUCUAAUUCAAACGUCAGCCUGUGGAGGCGAAGAUAUUGAAAUUUAUUUCUCAAGGUAUCAGUUAUUUUGAUCGCAAUGAAUAUAUUGGAUGGCUAAUGCAAAAAUGAACAGAAAUGACGCGAUUGCUCCACUAUCGCAAGCCACGCGAAAAGGCUUUUGUUAUCGCGAUAUUGUUCUGCGGGGGGUUUAUAAUUUUUCCGGAGUUUUAUAAAAAGAUCGUCGAGAAUGCGUACAUCUUUACGUAACGUGUUUAUCCGUUUGAUGCUCACGCUAUUUAAACAAAAGAUGAAACCUGAUAAUAUCGAUAAUAUCAUUCUAUGUACAUAUUGAUCUAUAUAUAAGCUGGGAAACUACGGAAAGAUUCACAGAACAUUUUGAAGAGAGCGAACUGCAGAAAAGAGAUCAGCAAAAACUAUUAAGAUGGGAAAACUUGUUUUACUUCUUUGCUUUGCGCUUCUCGCAGUGAAUUUGGUCAUGGCUUGCACUCUACCUGGCCAACUGUGUUCAAGUACCAGUGAAUGUUGUAAAGGUUUUGUAUGCCAUCCAUGCGUAAAUCGUUGCACUGGAGGACCCCCCGAAGGAAUCCCAAUCGGCCCGUGUGGGCCAAGAGAACCUCCAGUAACUAACUAAGGAGUGAGUGAUUAAUUUGGAUUACCUUCCAUAAGUACAAUUUAAUCUUUUGCUUAAUUUAGAAAAGAAUGUAUUAAAUGUAAUUUACCCUUACAUCAUAAUUAAAAACAUAUAUUUGUUUAUUCAUUAUACGGCAAAAUUUCUUUCAUAUUCUUCCCUUUUUACGUUAUCAAACUAAUUAAAAUUAUUAUAAUUGUAAAGAUUAUGAAAAUAAUUAUAAGAGGAUAUUUGUGCGCAAAUGUUCUUAUAUUAGAGACAACUGUACACAUUUUGUUAACGUGAACUAUAACAAGAUAAUAAUUGUUCGAUAUAUUGUGAUAUAAUUAAAAAUUAUAUAAUAAUAUCAAUUUUUAUACGUAGAUUU
Long non-coding RNA from Formica exsecta, 1132 nucleotides. RefSeq lists it as uncharacterized. The record is from RefSeq and is a predicted model, not a curated record. The transcript is spliced from 6 exons. NCBI's taxonomy places the organism in Eukaryota, Metazoa, Arthropoda, Insecta, Hymenoptera, Formicidae.